This 497-nucleotide ribosomal RNA is filed under the name uncultured bacterium. RNAcentral describes it as "partial 16S ribosomal RNA". It matches the Rfam family "Bacterial small subunit ribosomal RNA", at positions 28 to 507 of the family's 1533-position model. The record is from RNAcentral.
GAUGAACGCUGGCGGCGUGCCUAAUACAUGCAAGUCGAGCGAACGGACGAGAAGCUUGCUUCUCUGAUGUUAGCGGCGGACGGGUGCGUAACACGUGGAUAACCUACCUAUAAGACUGGGAUAACUUCGGGAAACCGGAGCUAAUACCGGAUGAUCUUUUGAACCGCAUGGUUCAAAAGUGAAAGACGGUCUUGCUGUCACUUAUAGAUGGAUCCGCGCUGCAUUAGCUAGUUGGUAAGGUAACGGCUUACCAAGGCAACGAUGCAUAGCCGACCUGAGAGGGGGUUCGGCCACACUGGAACUGGGACACGGUCCAGACUCCUACGGGAGGCAGCAGUAGGGAAUCUUCGGCAAUGGGCGAAAGCCUGACGGAGCAACGCCGCGUGAGUGAGGAAGGUCUUCGGAUCGUAAAACUCUGUUAUUAGGGAAGAACAUAUGUGUAAGUAACUGUGCACAUCUUGACGGUACCUAAUCAGAAAGGCACGGCUAACUACGUG